UACGGAAAGCAGCAGUGGGGAAUAUUGCACAAUGGGCGCAAGCCUGAUGCAGCCAUGCCGCGUGUAUGAAAAAGGCCUUCGGGUUGUAAAGUACUUUCAGUCGUGAGGAAGGUGUUAAGGUUAAUAACCUUAGCAAUUGACGUUAGCGACAGAAGAAGCACCGGCUAACUCCGUGCCAGCAGCCGCGGUAAUACGGAGGGUGCGAGCGUUAAUCGGAAUUACUGGGCGUAAAGGGCACGCAGGCGGUUAAUUAAGUUGGAUGUGAAAUCCCCGGGCUUAACCUGGGAAUGGCAUUCAAGACUGGUUAGCUAGAGUCUUGUAGAGGGGGUAGAAUUCCAUGUGUAGCGGUGAAAUGCGUAGAGAUGUGGAGGAAUACCGGUGGCGAAGGCGGCCCCUGGGACAAAGACUGACGCUCAUGUGCGAAAGCGUGGGGAGCAAACAGGGAUUAGAUACC
Molecule: ribosomal RNA, 454 nt
Filed under: uncultured bacterium
Lineage: Bacteria
Description: bacterial SSU rRNA
Rfam family: Bacterial small subunit ribosomal RNA
Source: RNAcentral